Molecule: long non-coding RNA, 318 nt
Organism: Gordionus sp. m RMFG-2023
Lineage: Eukaryota; Metazoa; Nematomorpha; Gordioida; Chordodea; Parachordodidae
Exons: 3
Source: RefSeq, a predicted model, not a curated record
AUACGGAUAAUCCAUUCUUUAGUUAAAAGAUAUUUAUCACGAAGCGAUUAACCUUUCCUACAAUACCUCAAUGUGGAGCUAAAUUUUAUAAAAAUCGGUCUAACUAACCCCAGUCUCCCCUACCAAUGUGGUAAAUUGGUCCAGCAAGGAAAUCGAUACGCGCCGAAUUGACACCGCGCCGAAUUGACGUUGCGCCGAGUUGUCGCCGCGCUGAAUUGACGAUGCGCCGAAUUUUCCGCGCCGAAUUGACGUGAUACCCUGGCCAUAAUAUAUUAAUUAAUAAUUUUAUUAUAAAUCAGAAAUAUUACAAUAUGAAAU